This 131-nucleotide small nucleolar RNA is filed under the name Sorex araneus (European shrew). Its description in RNAcentral is "Small Cajal body specific RNA 8 (ENSSARG00000019823.1)". The record is from RNAcentral. Lineage: Eukaryota; Metazoa; Chordata; Mammalia; Eulipotyphla; Soricidae.
AAAAAUCAACAAACAAAAAUUGGGCUGCAGUAGUCCUCUGAUUGUCACGACACAUCCUUAGAACAAACUAUAUUUUGAUAAAUAUGACUAAUUGAGGGAAAUAGUAACUGAGGGGUACUGGGCAGACAGAU